RNAcentral lists this long non-coding RNA (804 nucleotides) under Nicotiana benthamiana. RNAcentral's name for it is "long non-coding RNA (NBEN_LNC038659)". Lineage: Eukaryota; Viridiplantae; Streptophyta; Magnoliopsida; Solanales; Solanaceae. The record is from RNAcentral.
UUUAUUUCAAUUGAACACAAUACUGUAUUGAUGAUCAUACAUAUUAGGCACAACUAGCUUAUUUGGCACAUAAUGUGGAUCUCACAACAUUUGAGCGCGUGAAUAUUAUUACAUGUGGACUCUAAAGAUAAUAUUUUAAAAAAAUACAAUAAAUAUAUAAAUAUUCAGACCCACCCGAGUUUGAAUAAACUCUAAUUUCAUACCCUUCCGCUUAGUUCCGCCCAAAUUGCUUCCAAAUUAGGUCAAGAGACAUCUUCUUGUUUUCGUCUCUUUCCAAAUCUUCUUUGUUUCUUUCUAAUUCUUCUGAAUUUAUUUCGAAUUUUUAUUUUUUUUCUUCGCCAGAGAAGUUUUAUUGCCGAACUCGUAGAGUUCGUCAAAGGCACCCCCCACUGUUGUUGUGUACUGUAAUUGCGGUUAAUUAGCAAACUUCAAAAUAUCAUUAACUGAUCGUACACCAGGUCGAAGGUUUUACAAUUGCAAAAUUGGAAAGGGAAGCAUAAUUCACAGUGAUAAAUCGAAGAGAAUAAAUUGGAAAUACAGUGAGAAAUCGAAGGUAAUUGAUAGAAUUUUUCUAUAGAUUUUUUGUACCUGUAAUCGCCUCUCGUCAAUUGGGGUUAAUAUGGAGAGAGAGUAAUGAACGGGUUUUUUAAUUUUAAAUGGGAUGACUAUUUAGAAAUCUAAUAUGGCGUAUUAAAGCAGUUGGCGUCUUUUAACUAGUUAGCUUUCAGCGUCAGUUGCGACGCGCUACACUUAAUAUAAUAUUUGACCGAGUUUUGAGCUAGUUACGCCUAAUAGGGAUGUUAU